UUAAUUUGCAACCCAGUUACUAUGAGUGGUCGUGUCAGACGGAUGCUUCGGGCGAGCAUUUUCGCGUAAACUAAUUGAUUUCUUCUAAUUAAAUUAUAGUGAAUCAUUGUGUAAGCAAUGCAAGUGUGAUGUGAGCCAUGCGAAUUAAUAUUGUGCAAAUAUAUAACGGAAAGACUUCAAAAUAGGGGAUGUAACAGAAAAAUAAAAAUGGCUUCAGGAGAUACUGAUCACAUAGAAGUGAUGGACUCUUCGGCUAGUAAAAAGUCUGAUAACGCAACUGGACCUUCGGGCGCGGAAGAAGAUGAUCGAGACAAGAGCUCAAUCGCUGAGAAAAAUGCACCGUACGAUCCUGCUGUGGGUCCCUCAGGGGCGAUCAGCAAGGUCCACAAGUCGGACAGAAAGAUCGGACAUCGUCGCGUUGGCGAGGGUGGCGAGAUCACCUACAAGAAGAUCCAGUCUUCCCAAAUUAUGGGAUCUAUACAGCUUGGAAUCCAGCAUGCUAUCGGCGGGCUAGCUUCCAAACCUGAGCGAGAUCUCCUCAUGCAGGACUUCAUGACAGUGGAGACCACGAACUUCCCUCACGAAGGCUCGAACCAUACGCCUGCUCAUCAUUACUCCGAGUUUAAGUUCAAGACCUACGCUCCAAUAGCCUUCAGAUACUUUCGGGACCUGUUCGGCAUCCAACCUGACGAUUUCUUAAUGUCGAUGUGCAGUGCCCCGCUGCGCGAGCUCAGCAACCCUGGAGCGUCCGGCAGCAUCUUCUACUUAACCAAUGAUGAUGAGUUCAUCAUCAAGACAGUUCAGCAUAAGGAGGGAGAGUUUCUUCAGAAACUACUGCCUGGAUACUACUUGAAUUUGGAUCAGAACCCACGCACACUGCUGCCAAAAUUCUUCGGCUUAUAUUGUUACCAGUGCAACAGUAAGAACGUUCGACUAGUGGCGAUGAACAACUUGCUCCCGUCCUCCAUCAAACUGCACCAGAAGUAUGAUUUGAAAGGAUCCACUUAUAAACGGAAGGCGAACAAAAGCGAACGUCAGAAGACGUCGCCGACAUAUAAGGAUCUGGAUUUCAUGGAACAUCACACCGAAGGUCUUUUCCUUGAAGCGGACACGUACAACGCACUCAUCAAGACUAUGCAACGGGAUUGCAGAGUACUGGAGAGUUUUAAGAUCAUGGAUUACUCCCUCCUAGUCGGCAUACACAACCUGGACGAAGCUCAAAGGGAGAAGACGGAAGCGAGGAAACGCACUGACUCCGGCCAGAGUGACGGCGAUGAUGCCGAGGGAGAACCACGGAAAGGACUUAAUAGGACGAGAUCUGAACAGGGCAAGGAGGAUUUCACCGCACAAGUGAAACGAACGCAGUCAAUAAACAGACAGCGGCUGGUGGCUCACUCCACCGCGAUGGAGAGCAUACAGGCUGAAAGCGAGCCUAUUGAUGAAGAGGAAGAUGUGCCUCCUGGCGGCAUUCCGGCUCGGAACGCGCGCGGCGAGCGACUCCUCUUGUUCCUGGGUAUCAUCGACAUCCUGCAGUCCUACAGGCUGCGCAAGAAACUCGAACACACGUGGAAGAGCAUGAUACAUGACGGGGACACCGUUUCAGUACAUAGACCGAGUUUCUACGCGCAGAGGUUUUUAGAUUUCAUGGCUAAAACCGUCUUCAAGAAAAUACCUUCGUUGGACCUUCCUGAGAUCAAGGGGAAUCAUCGCAAAUUCCGAACGCUAGUCACCUCCUAUAUAGCCCUGAAGCACUCGCCUUCGAAACGGAAGAGCAUCGCCAAACCGGCUAGGCCACAAGAAGACAUUGACACGCCAGGAGCCGGAUCCAGUGGGGUCGCCAGCGUGAAAGCAGUUUCUUUGUCGGAUGUGACAGCACAUAUAACCCCGAUAUCGGUGACGUCACCGGUGUCCACAGCCGCUAAAGUCACAAUGUCGUCGGCUAAGACGACGACGGCCGCGUCAGAGCCCGACAUCGCGUUCCCAGCUGUGUUGAAAGGCUCGCAAAAGCAGAGAGUCCCACCCCCAGUCCCUCCAAGAGGGUCACCCAAAGCUAAGCGAGGAGGCGCCGCCUCCCAAGCGUCUAGCAUCGACACGAAAGGCGGUGCGCCAUUGUCGUGUUGUUCAACACCGCCACCCCCCUUCGAAGAGGCCCCUCCUCCGAGAACCAGUCGCACUAACUCCUCGUCUACAACGUCAUCAAGUGCGUCAGGCAGACGCCGUGGAGCGUCCAGUGCUGCUAGUGUGAUGACCACUUCAUCUGCGUCUUCUCUGGCUUUGACGCCCGCGGCUCUGAGUAGCGCGCGCAGUAAUGAUGCCAGUGUGUGUUGGACCCCGCCGGCGUCUGUGGAAGGCUCCACCCCGACAUGGACUGAGGGCACGCCCAGUUUCACCGAGUCUAGUAGUAGUGAACAAGGCUACCCGAUAACACCAGCCCGUGGCGCCACACCGUGUGACAGUCGCGACGGGCGUCGCUCCCCGCGCCCCCCACCGCCGCCUGCGCGCGCAAUCCCCCCCACCACCAUCAAUUGUCUUACCAGCGAAGUGUUGCAUCUCAAAGAAAAAGUAGAAAAUGAUUACAAAUGAUUUCUGAAUAAAACAUAUUUAUAAAACGCUUAAAAUAACUGUUUUAAGAAUGCUAGCUUAAUAGGAACGUUACAAAUAAUGGCAAUUUCAAGAACAGCUGAUUUAUAUAUACUUAAAACACAAUAUUCGGUGCUUCCACUGCGAAGAAUGCUUUCGGAAAUAUAUCGCGAGAAAUACCGAUUUUCUUUAGAGCAAUAAAUGGCGAUUAGCCGAUUCUCAAAACCUUAACUCGUGGAAAUAACACAUUUAAGAUGUGAAACGUCAAGAAUAACGAUAUCAAGCUAUGAAAUACAUAACGACGCCGACGAUGAAGAAACGCAGUGAAUGCAGCUGUAUUUUUGGGGGGUUUGUUGCAAUGUAUUUUUAUAUUAUCAUCAAACGUUGCCCGUAACAAUUUUAGUGGUCGAUUGUAACAUAUUUUAUUUAAUGUCCCGCAAAUCACAGAAUUUAUGUAACCAUUGCGUAAAUGUAGUAAAAUCCCAUUUUUUUUAUCGUUUCCAUGAUUAUUAAUUAUACAAUCAAAAAUGUAAAAAUAAUUUUAUGAAAUGAUUCUCCCAAAAAUAUUUAAAGACAUUUAAGCUAAAUUAAUUCGAACAUAAAUAAAUUUAUGAUUAACAAAAUUACAUUGCAAUUAAUUCCUCCUAUAAAAAUAAUACUUAAUGCUAUUGUUGUAAGCUUGUAAAAGUUGAAAUCAGUAUUCUAUGUGGUGCUGUCACAGAAAUAUAAUUAUUAUGAUAUCUGGAGAUCAAAUUAGUAUAAUAAUAUGUACUUAAUACCGUUAAUGGUCAAUGGGAGCUACCAUUUUAUGCUCAUCAGGUAACGGCAAUGUAACAUAUUUUUUGAGGGUACAAAAUCAUCUGAAUGAGUCUAUAGUUCACCGCGUGUCGGCUUCCACUGCUUGAAGCAAUCCGUGUAUGGCGUAAGCGUAGAUCAGCCAUGCUUCGGCACGAAUGGGCCGGCUCGACCGGAGUGAUACCACGGCCUCACAGAAAACCGACGUGAAACAACGCUUGCGUUACGUUUCGUUGUGUGAGUGAGGUUACCGGAGGCCCAAUUACCCUUAAAUUCCUAACCCCCAAAAGGCCGGCAACGCACUUGUAACGCCUCUGUUGUUUCGAAUGUCCACGGGCGGCGGCGAUUGUUUACCAUCAGGUGAUCCGUCUGCUCGUUUACCGGCUUAUAACAUAAAAAAGAUCUGAUUAAAUCUCAAUAACAUUAUCUUAAAUCUCAAUAAUAUUAUAAAAAGUAAAACAGAUCUCCAGAUAUUUAAAAUGUACGUAGGUUAAAUACAUGAAGCAAAUCUUUGUACUUGCUUCAUGGUUAAAUCAUUUCUAACCCCCCAUGUAGCCAAAAGCCUAUUAAUGUUGCCAUCUUUGUAAUAUUAUAAUAAAUGUAUCGAUAAACGUACUAUGAUUAUUAUUAGGUUAAGAAUCUACCCACUGCCAUUGUUAUUAAUUUUUAAUAAUAUUGUAAUAACAAUGUGAUUGGCAUCUUAGUAAAAAAGAUAUGUUGUUAACUUAAUAAAAUUAAUAUUUCUGAUCUGUAACUGAAUUCAUUAUUCUGUAUAUUAUCGUGUAACAUAUUAAAACAAUUGAAAUAUACGAUAUACUGCCGCAGUCAGAGACAUUUAAUUAUAACUUAAACUAUUCCUUAGUAAGGAUUUUGUUCCGCUACAAUUGCUAAGGACUGGGUUUAUGUAACCAUUAAAUCAGUGAGUACGUCGGUUAUUGACGUGACUCGAUUCGAGCUUUCUCGACUGGUUUCAAGCCGUAACCAGGGUUUAUAAUCCUAAAGAUUGCCUAAGAAUUAAACGUUUGAUUAAUUAUAAUUACUCCAUAUAAAUUCAUUCUGUAGAAGAUAAACAAUAUAAAAUACAUCAAAAUAAUUUAAAUAAAAAGAAGCAAGGUGCCAAUCACAUAUUUAUAUUUGAUUAUGUUUAUUAUAAGUAAAAAAUAUCGUUAUUUGAAUGGAGAAGGUGCAAAAAUAUUAGUUUAUUUAGUCUCUAUGAAGUGUAGCUCCAAAUCAGUAUUUUUUAAUCUCAUAUUUAAGGCAACUUUAUUCUUUUUUAUUCUGAGUAAAUUCAAGCAUUUAUAAAUUCUCAUAUUUUUGCUUUGUCAAGGGAUUUUGGUCUUUAUAUUAACAGCAUAAAGGUGGUAAUGAAUGCAGUAACACAUUUGCAAAAAAUAAUGUCCUUUUGAUUUUAUAAAUGCUUGUAUUACUAGUAGAAAAAUAAUUUUCUUUUUAAUGUAAUCUGUCUUUUGGUAUUGUUAUAUUUCAAGUUUAUUUGAAUUGAUUAAUGUCCGAUUUUACCAUCUUUUUGCUAAAAGUUACUUAGCUAGACAUAGAUCCUGGACUAACCUCUGAUUUGUACUUUUAACCGCCGUACUCAGAGUCAUUUAAUGGUUACUUAACCCAAUCUUUAGCAAUUGUUUUCGAUACAAAAUCUUCACUAAGGAAUAGUUUAAGUAAUCAUUAAUUGUCUCUGAGUGCGGCAGAAAAUUUAUGAGAGAUUGGUGUAAUCGGACAUUGUUUUCUUUUAUUUACUUUUUAUUUUAUUAUGUCAGCCAUCAGCCAAUUUUAUUAUCUACAUUUUUAGUUCUUUUGAUAGACUGAUUAAUUUAGAUCUGAUUUUUUUUUGUUUUUUAUUUAAAUGAAUUGGUUUUUUUAAACGAUUUUGUAGCGAAUUCUAACAAUAUUUUAAGUAGACCAAUCUUGUUUUUUAUUUUCUUUAGUAAAUUAUUAAAAUCGUGGCCCUUUUUUGUUUAAUUUUGCAUGUAAUGUAACGAAAUGUACCUUUUGAAUUGUCUGAUUUUUAUUUGGUUUAAGAAUUAUAUUAGUUUGUAUGUAUGAAAUAUUUUUAGAAAUACAAAUGUGAAUGGUCUAUGUCCGUGUUUUUGAUGCGCUUUGAAAAUGUGUAAGAAACCAAACUUUAUUACUGAAAAUGUAGUCCAUUUUAUAUACUUAAAUACUUACUGUUCUUACCUACAAAUGAAUUCUUUUACCUUGUGACCGCCACGGUCGGCUAUAGACGACAAACAAUAUUUGGGCUAAACCGCUACGGUCAAGAAAAUAUCAUUUUAAAUACAUUUUGUUAGUCGCCUGUAGCCGACCAUGACGUGGCAAUGGGCAAAUAAAAAUAAACUUAUCAAAUUAAAAGUUGAAAUAUUUGCAUGGAAAAACCACAUUAAUUCUGAUCAUACUAUAAUCUCAAAUUUAUCUGAUAGUUUUUGAAAACUAAUUGCCAUACUCAGAGUCAUUUAAUAGUGACUUAACCUAGUACUUAGCGUGUAUGGAACAAAAUCGUUGCUAAACAAUACUUAAAGUGAUUAUUAAAUGUCUCUGAGUACGGCAGUAAAGGUCUGUUUCACAGUGCUGCUAUGUAUCAGUACUCAUGUGUUUGCUUUACGUUUAAAGUAAUCUGCGUUCUGAUUGAUUGGUUAAUUCAAGCCGGCCAUUUGAGAGCGCUCUCGUUUUGAUUACUUUAAACAUAAAGCAAACUUAAAAUAAGUACUGUAUAAUUUAAACUAGUACUAUAAGUGUUCCUAUUUUUUAUCGCUAUAAUGUAGCAUAAUUGUUAUCACCAAAUUGCACAGACAACAGCAAGUCAAGCUACACCAAUUUGUAUCAUUUUUCGCAGAUGAAUGUUUAAUUAUUAAUUACUUUUUCUAACCCAAUCUGAUAUUUUGAUAUUAUUUUGUAACCUCUCUAUUUUAUUUAUGAUUAAUUACAUGUUAUUUAUGUUACAUUAAAUCUGUUCUGUACUUAUUAAUGCUGCAUUAUGGUGAUAAAAAUUAAAAUGCAUAUAAUUAAAUAUACAAUUUAUGAAAUAUUUUAAAAUGUAUAACGGCUAUAUGUUGCAACGAAAUAUUUGUUUUGAAGAGAGACAAAAUUAUUCAAUUUCUCCAAUUUAUUAAUCGAAAAAUAUAAAUAGAGUAUUUGGAGUUAAAAAUAUGAACUCAUAUAAAAUAAAUGGAGCCUGUUAUUAAUAAAUAAAUUUUAUGAAUCAUAAAUUUAAAUGUAAAUUCAAUUAAUUAAUUUCAGUUAAUUCCACCGAUCGAUGUAUUCAAUGUUCGUAGACUUAAGUAAAGGUGAUAUCAGGUUUAGCUUACAGUAAUCAUUUUGUAAUUAAUCUGUAGAAAUAUAUUGUUAAAGGGCAACAUGGAUUUUUUAAAAUAUUUAGUUACUAAACCUAAAUUUAUUCAGCAGCCGCCCGUGACAGUCCACUAUGACCCUCCUCCUUAGUGUCGGAUUGGCCAUGUAGCAAGAGGCGCCGCGCCUGUGCCUAAAUUAACAAGUUGUGACAUUGAAUAAUUAAUAAAAUUUUAUUGAAUUCAAAUUGCAUUGGCAUUGUGAUUGGUUUCAAAAGUAAGCGCGCAGGUUUACCAGCGAGCGUUACAGCCCAGUCUCUGUCAAAUGUAGUCUUUUAGUCGGUUCUUACGAACGCUUACCGAAAGAGCAGGGAUGGUGACAAUAUAGUUUUAUAUAUACUUUAUUAUUUUCUUUACUACGUAAUGUUAGUUUUAAGCUAAAUUUCGAUAUCACCAUAAUUGUUGUUGAAUGGUAACUGUACAAACAUUUUGUAUCCUGUUGAUCUUUGCUAGUUGCUGUACUUUGUAUUGUAUCGAUAAUUGUAUUGUAUUGUAUUAUCCUAUGUACUUAUCUGUAUAUCGUGAGAGAUAUUUGAAUUAAAUGCGUAUUUCCAA
Molecule: RNA transcript, 7286 nt
Organism: Spodoptera frugiperda (fall armyworm)
Lineage: Eukaryota; Metazoa; Arthropoda; Insecta; Lepidoptera; Noctuidae
Gene: PIP5K59B
Gene name: phosphatidylinositol 4-phosphate 5-kinase type-1 alpha
Exons: 21
Source: RefSeq, a predicted model, not a curated record